AGCACCAUCAGCAUGCUCCAGCAACAACCAGUUGAGAAGGACGAAUCAGUUCAGAGUUCAAGAAUUUCCCUUUACAUUGUUGUAUCCGUGGCUACCAUCGUUCGUGUCAUAGGCUCAAUUAUUGCCUACUUAUUAAUAUUCAAAUGCAAGAAACACAAGAAACGCGUGUUUAGCGUUGCCGGCUAUCGCCCUCGAAAUUAUCCACGAAAGGGGAGAGACCUGCUGAGCUCUACUUCAUCAUCUGUGUCGACUAGCUCGACGAAUCCGCUGUUGAACAAUCAGCGUUUUCGAAGACAUGACUCGGCUUUGUCAGACGACCGCUACUGGUGGUUGUCGAAUACGCACCUUUCGGCAUUUUACGAGAAUAUCUUCUUGAAAGAAGACUUGACCGAAACGGAGAGACCAUUCCAAUAGAAGGAGAAGAAAAGUUGUGCUUUAGGGAUUUCGUCUCCUUCAGUUAUCAAAUUGCUCGUGGAAUGGAAUAUUUGUCAGGAAGAAAGUGUAUUCAUCGCGAUCUUGCUGCCAGGAAUAUUUUAGUUGGUGAAGAUAGAGUAAUGAAAAUUGCAGACUUUGGUUUAGCUCGCGACAUUCAUCAGAUUGACUAUUACCGCAAAACAACUGACGUAUGUAUUCUGUGAAAUUGUGCCAUUAAUCCUGAUAAAUAAUUUUUAAGAAUAUGAAAACAUUUUUUGUCUUCAUGGAUUUUAUUGUUUUCGUAAAGAAACUUCCUUGUAUAUGUAUAUUAUAGUAAAUUUUCUAUUUUUGUGCCUGAACUUCGAGUGGAAAUAUUUUUGUUUGAUAUCAUUGUAUUAUAAGACAUUUAUAAUUA
Molecule: long non-coding RNA, 829 nt
Organism: Xenia sp. Carnegie-2017
Lineage: Eukaryota; Metazoa; Cnidaria; Anthozoa; Malacalcyonacea; Xeniidae
Exons: 3
Source: RefSeq, a predicted model, not a curated record